This 1666-nucleotide long non-coding RNA is filed under the name Sus scrofa (pig). RNAcentral's name for it is "lncRNA (ENSSSCG00005003257.1)". The record is from RNAcentral. Lineage: Eukaryota; Metazoa; Chordata; Mammalia; Artiodactyla; Suidae.
UCCUUCCCAUGAUGCAGACGCGGAGGGAAGGGCUGGCUGCGAUUCUGGAAGAGAGCUCUCACCAAAACAUACCCACACUGGUGCCCUGAUCUUGGACUUCCCAACCUCUGAACUACAAACAGGGGCCUGCAGGCCUGGCUCCUCUCUGAAGCACAGUGUCAGCUCCAGCGAGACAAUGUGUCACAGAGACUAAGGUGUGUGCAGUCAGGAGGAUGAUUGGAGAAGGAACCUCCUCCUGGAAAGAAGUAAAAAAAUAUGUCUAUAAUACGACCAGCCACCAAAGCAGGCAUCGAUCUGAGAUGCUGGCCAGAGAGGGUGAAUUCAGGUGUGGGGCCCCACUGGAUAUGACUGAAGACCAGCCACCAGAGGAAAUUUAAGCAGAGGAGAGGAGAGAACCUGAUUUAAGGGCUGGCUCUGUGGCUGCUUUCAGAGAAAUCUCCGCUGUCUCCUAACCUGCUUCGUCCUCAGUUUCCUCAUCAUGGACAUAAUGACAGCUUCUACCUCAGGUGUCCUGAGGCAACACAUCAUGGUAAGUGCAAAAGACUUAAUGGGAUACCUAGAACAGAGGAGAGGCUCAUUACAUGCCUUCUGCUAGAAUGAUUACUAUUAUUGUUAUUAUUUACCCUAAACAAAGAGGAGGGUGGCCGUAUCCGUUUUUGUUUUGUUUUGGCCAUGCCCAUGGCAUGCAGAAGUUCCUGGAUGAGGGAUCAAGCCCAUGCCACAGCAGAGACCCAAGCCAUAGCAAUGACAAUGCCGGAUCCUUAACCCACUGAGCCACCAGGGAACUCCUGUACCCACCUUUUUCCCCUGUGCCCACGUUUAUAGGGCAUUCAUGUAUUUGGUGUGGCAAAUGGAGAUGAAAGAAAUCCUGUUUGUACACACAUGAGAUCCUGACACAAGUUGACCCCAAACUGCCUUCCUCACAUUAAAAAUGAGGAAACUGAGGCAAAAAGAGAUGAAGUAACUUGUUCAGGGUCACAUAGAAAAGCAGAGUUAAAAUUCCAGCCUGGGAAGUCUGUGCUGUCUUUAUAGCUGAAACUUCCAACAGACGUCUUAGAAGCGUCCACACCACCCACAUUUCCUGGAUCAUAGCAUCUCCCUUUUCUGUUUAAUCUGCAAUGUCCUUUCUCCUCUUCUUAAUCAAAUAAGCUACUACUCAGUCUUUGAGUUGCAGCUUCAGUGUUUUCUCACUGGGCCCCUGUGAGGCCUUUGCUGAGGCCACCGGGAAAGUGCGUCUCUCCCACCACUGGGCUCAUAUCUAUCUUUGUCAUCAUAUUGAGUUUUGGCUUUGGUUGAAGCUACUGGCCACUUCUUAAUGUCAGGGCUCUUGCUGUCCAUGGGGGACAUCAGAGGGAGGUCUGUGGAUCAGGCAUGUGGAUAUGUGCGUGUGUGUGCGCGCGCACAUACACUCACACACACGCGCGCACACACGCACACACGGGACGUUCCUAUUGUGGCUCAGUGGAAACAAAUCUGACUAGUAUCCACAUAGACGCGGGUUUGAUCCCUGGCCUUGCUCAUGGGUUAAGGAUCUGGCAUGGCCAUGAGCUGUGGUGUAUGUCGCAGAUGUGGCUCGGAUCUGAUGUUGCUGUGGCUGGGGUGUAGGCCAGAAGCUACAGCUCGGAUUCAACCCUUAGCCUGGGAACCUCCGUAUGCUGUGGGUAAG